This is an RNA transcript of Cucumis melo (muskmelon), 4831 nucleotides long. It is a transcript of the gene named translocase of chloroplast 120, chloroplastic-like, with no coding region annotated. The record is from RefSeq and is a predicted model, not a curated record. The transcript is spliced from 3 exons. Lineage: Eukaryota; Viridiplantae; Streptophyta; Magnoliopsida; Cucurbitales; Cucurbitaceae.
ACGAAGAGUAAGAAAGAAAGAAAGCAUUUUGAUAGAGAAAACUCUCAUCUUCCCUUUUACUUUUUCUUAAUAAAACUUGAACAAUCACACAGACUUGUUUUCUCUCUCUAGAAACCCACCUUUUUUCUCUACCUAAAAGUUCUCUCUCUCUAUUUCUCUAUCUUUCUCUUUCUUACCUCCAAAAUCUGGACUUUGAGGCUGAGGUUGUUCUAGAUUUGUGAUGGAAAAUGGGGUUGAGGUUGUUGAUGGAUUGCACGAUGGAGAGAAGAAGUUUGUGGGAGAUGGUGUUUCACGAGAUUGGGUAGAUGAAACAGUUGUAGUUGGUUCUCAUGAAUCUAAGGAUACGGAAGGGGAAGAUGUUUUUGAGGAGGCAUUAGAUGGGAAAGAUCAUUUAAUAGAGCAGAGCCCGAAAUAUAUUUCAGUGAAUGGCGAUAUUGCAGAAGAAGAAGAAGGCAAUGAUUUUACGUCUGGAGUGACUUCUAACCAUCCUAACAAUGCUCACGAUGAAGAGAAGUUUGAAGAAGCAAUAGAGGCUUAUAGUAGGGUGAAUGAAAACCCGGUGGUGGAGGAGCAAGAUGUGAAUUCUGAUAAGGAGACAGAAGGCUUGGAUGGGAAAUUGGUCGAAAAUGCAGUUGUGGCUUCUACAAUUGAUGAGAGAGGAACUGAAGAGGAAGCAGCGACUUCCGAGUUGAACGAGAGCAAGGAUGACGAGUUGGAUUUCAGUAGAGAUGAUUCAAGAAAUGAGACAUUAGAGAACGGUGCUAGCCCAGAGGUUGUAGUGCUGAAGGAUGGGGAUGAGGAUGAUUUGAAAUUUGGUCCAAUGAGUACGAAGUCUGAAAAUAAUGAUAGUAACAAUUUGAAUGUGACUUUGCCUUCAGAUGAUGAAUUAGUGAAUAAGAGUGCUGAUUUGGUAGGGGGGACUAACCUGGAUUCUACCAGUGAUUUUCUUACUGAAAAUCGAGAUCAUGUGGAACUGAAUGGGAAGAGCUUAGGUACGGAGUCCUCAGACCACGUUAAGAAGACUGAGGAGCCAUUAAAUGCACCCGUUCUAGAUUUGGAAAAUUUGGAUAUUACAAAUGCAGAGCAAAGGGAUGAUUCUCUUCACGUGGAUCUAGAACUGCCAAACAAUGAGAGUGAAGACAUGAAAGAGACUACAACUAGUAUUGAACCUAAGAAGGAUGAUAAUAAAAAUGAAGAAAGCUCUCCAGCCUGCAUGACUACCACAAGUCAGGAUGACAGGACUGAGGAAGUGACUACCACAAAUCAGGAUCACAGGAAUGAGGAAGUGACUACUGCAGACGAGAAUCACCGGAUCAAGGAAGUGACUACUGCAGAUGAGAAUCACCGGAUCGAGGAAGUGACUACUGCAGAUGAGAAUCACCAGAUCGAGGAAGUAAAAAAUGUUUCUACUGGGAAAGAUUCAGAAAAGCAGUCCAGAGUAUCUCGUGAAUUGAAUGGUACUACUUCUGCUGACCAGCAUGAAUCUAUGGGUGAAAAUGAAAUUCCCCUGGAGACAGUUGAGGAUAUCUCAGCUUCUGAAAAGAUAGCAGAUGAGAAAAUUGAGAAGAUCCAGGGCAGUGAAAGUGAUGUGACAGUGAAGGAAGACAAUACAACUAGACAUCAGCAUCCUGUUGAUAGUUCCAAUAAUGGCCCCGACAUUUUAGGGGUUGAAAAGACAGAGAGCAAAGAUAAGGUUGGACAGGACAAAACUCAAGUGAACAGGGAUCCAGAGAUUCGACCUGCAUCAAUCAUUGCUUCAUCAUCUGGUAAAUCUACAAAUCCCACUCCUCCUGCCCGUCCAGCUGGUCUUGGGCGUGCUGCUCCAUUAUUGGAACCUGCCCCUCGGGUGGUGCAGCCGCCUCGAGUUAAUGGUACUGUAUCCCAUGUUCAAAUGCAACAAAUUGAUGAUCCUGUUAAUGGGGAUGCUGAGGAAAAUGAUGAUACUCGUGAGCAACUCCAGAUGAUAAGAGUGAAAUUUUUGCGUCUUGCACAUAGGCUUGGGCAAACUCCACACAAUGUUGUUGUGGCACAAGUUCUAUACCGUCUUGGAUUAGCUGAGCAACUUCGAGGAAGAAAUGGAGGUCGGGUUGGUGCCUUCAGCUUUGACCGUGCCAGUGCCAUGGCAGAGCAGCUGGAGGCAGCUGGGCAAGAGCCACUUGAUUUCUCUUGUACAAUCAUGGUUCUUGGAAAGACAGGUGUUGGUAAAAGUGCUACCAUCAACUCCAUAUUUGAUGAAGUUAAAUUCAGUACUGAUGCUUUUCAAAUGGGCACAAAAAAGGUUCAAGAUGUUGUUGGAACUGUGCAGGGGAUCAAAGUACGGGUAAUUGACACUCCUGGCCUUCUUUCCUCUUGGUCCGACCAGCGCCAAAAUGAGAAGAUCCUUCUCUCUGUUAAGCGUUUUAUAAAAAAGACACCUCCAGAUAUUGUUCUGUAUCUUGAUAGGUUGGACAUGCAAACCCGGGAUUUCAGUGAUAUGCCACUCUUGCGUACAAUUACUGAAAUAUUUGGACCAUCAAUAUGGUUCAAUGCGAUUGUGGUUCUUACUCAUGCAGCAUCUGCUCCACCUGAUGGUCCAAAUGGUACUGCUUCUAGUUAUGAUAUGUUUGUCACUCAGCGGUCUCAUGUUGUUCAGCAAGCUAUACGCCAGGCUGCAGGGGAUAUGCGCCUUAUGAAUCCUGUCUCAUUAGUGGAGAAUCACUCUGCAUGCAGAACGAACCGAGCUGGGCAAAGGGUAUUGCCGAAUGGACAGGUUUGGAAACCUCAUUUAUUAUUGCUCUCAUUUGCCUCAAAGAUUUUGGCCGAAGCUAACACUCUUCUGAAGUUGCAAGAUAGUCCUCCUGGGAGGCCAUUUACUCCUAGGUCGAAGUCACCACCUUUACCAUUCCUUCUCUCUUCCCUUCUUCAGUCAAGACCUCAAGUUAAACUGCCGGAGGAACAGUUUGGUGAUGAUGAUGGUCUUGAGGAUGACCUUGAUGAAUCGUCAGAUUCUGAAAAUGAAUCUGAAUAUGAUGAAUUGCCACCUUUUAAACGGCUGACAAAAGCACAGGUGGCAAAGCUCUCCAAAGCACAGAAGAAGGCCUACUUUGACGAAUUGGAAUACAGGGAAAAACUUUUUAUGAAGAAGCAACUGAAAGAAGAGAAAAGGAGAAGGAAGAUGCUGAAGAAAAUGGCAGCUGAGGCAAGAGAUCAACCCAGGGAUGGGAGUGAGAAUGUAGAAGAAGAUGCUGGUGGUGCUGCUUCAGUACCGGUUCCCAUGCCUGAUUUGGCAUUACCUGCUUCCUUUGAUUCUGAUAACCCCACUCACCGGUAUCGUUAUCUCGAUUCCUCUAACCAGUGGCUAAUAAGGCCUGUACUCGAAACACAUGGAUGGGAUCAUGAUGUUGGUUAUGAAGGUAUAAAUGCAGAGAAGUUGUUUGUUGUCAAAGACACAAUACCUAUCUCUUUUAGUGGCCAAGUUACAAAGGAUAAGAAGGAUGCAAAUGUUCAAAUAGAGAUGACCAGUUCGAUUAAGCAUGGGGAAACUAAAGCAUCUUCCAUUGGUUUCGAUAUGCAGACCGUUGGAAAGGAUUUGGCCUAUACAUUACGUGGCGAGACAACAUUUAUUAAUUUUAGGAAGAACAAGGCAAUUGCUGGUCUGUCAGUUGCCCUAUUGGGCGAUGCCUUGUCUGCUGGAUUCAAAGUUGAAGACAAGUUGAUUGCUAAUAAGCGAUUUCGAUUGGUUGUGACUGGGGGAGCAAUGACCGGUAGGGGAGAUGUAGCUUAUGGUGGCAGCCUGGAGGCUCAAUUGAGAGAUAAAGACUAUCCUUUGGGUCGUUCACUUUCAACUCUUGGGCUCUCAGUCAUGGAUUGGCAUGGAGAUCUUGCUAUUGGUUGCAAUGUACAAUCUCAAGUUCCCAUUGGACGAUCGACGAAUCUGAUUGCUCGUGUGAAUCUGAAUAACAGGGGGGCAGGGCAAGUCAGCUUUCGGUUAAACAGCUCAGAACAGCUUCAGAUAGCUAUUGUCGGGCUCCUUCCUCUAUUGAGAAAGCUUCUGGGUUGUUAUCAAUACUGGCAGGAUGGACAAUGAUGGAAUUUAGGUUACAGAUGCAGCUGAAUUUUUGCAAUAUAGUAAUAACGUUGGGUUGGUAAUUGGCAGUCUCAUACCGGUUAGCUUCAAAUAUCAGUAUGCAAAGAUGAAACAUACACCGAAUCUCCCAAACCAGUAAAACCCAUGCGAAGACUUUCCUUAUUCUUCACAUUUAGAGUUUCAAUUACUGUUAAUACAUCUUGUUGGAUGUCACGAAUGCUGAAUUAGUUCACAAACUUUGUGUAUACAAUGUCCAUUGAUUGAUGAUUCAACUGAUAAAUCUAGAGAUUGUUUGAGUCACUGUCCUCAUGUUUCAGGAUCUAGCCAGUGCAUAUGAUUGCCCUUCAAGACAUCUAUAUGAGACAGGUGAAUGGUUGCUGUCAAUCUGGUCGGUUGUUUAUAGUACUGUGGGGAUGGAAGCUUUGAGUCACUUUCAAUGGCCAGCUGAGCUACAAGCUGAAGAAGAUGGCAGAGUCUGAUGUGCCUUUGUCGUAGCUGCUUUGUUUUGAUUUAGCUUCGAACAACAGCUAUCUUCUUCUAUUCUCUUUUCAGAUUCAUUAUUAUAAGCUUCCAUUUAGAAUUUGGCUGCCCACUACAUGCCAAUAUGCUUGUACUGUUCAGCAGGCCAGACCACUUCUAGCAUCAUGUUGUUGUCUGAUCCUAAGGACUUUCGUUCUUCUUUUUUAAUCAAAUUAUUUGUAGUAUUUUUUUCUAGCUUUGUUGUGUUUGAAAUUUUGUGAUAAUAAAAGUUCAAUUUGAGUCAAA